AAUUUGGAGAAAUGUUGGAGGUUUUCAUCUUUAAUUUUUUUUUACAUUUAUGCAUUUGGCAGACACUUUUAUCCAAAGUGAGUUACAAUACAUUGUUUUUGUCAGUAUGUGUGUUCCCUGGGUUCAGACUCACAACCUUAUGCGCUGCUAACGCAAUGCUUUACUGAGCUAUACAAGCAUUUGUAUGACUUAUUAUUCACUUUUGUUCAACAGAGUAAAGAAAGACACACAAUGUUGGAACAACUUUAGGGAUUCAAUAACCAGCACGUUUCCACUGAUGCAUUCUGAUGUCGUGUGUGGUGUCGGGUGGAUUUGCCGCUGCAAUUGAUACUGAUGAUAACAGACUCUCUCACUUCAUAAAACACAGCAGGUAGACUAUAAGAAGAUCCAUAGUUGACCUGCAGCAGAGGUUUAUGGGAAGGAUUAGCAGGAAGAGACGUGACAAGUUUUUUGCUGUUAAUAAAGAGAUUUCCCACUGAAACGACAAAUUAACUCCGUGCAUAAAUUUACCACGGUGUAGUCAUCCUACCCUUGGAUGAAGAUCUACAUGAUCUUCUGUCAGAGAGAGCGCUGAAGUGGCCGUGUGUUGGUUCAAGCGAUGGACUCAAGCCUCUCUGGAAGCUCAAUGUGUGAUCUGAAUCUUUACCGUCUGUAACUUAAAAUGGACAAAUUGCUUUAAUUACACUUUAUUCUCCUUUAAAUACCUACAGUAUUACCAUUACCCCCAAUAUUUGUAUGCAUGCAUUUAGAUAUGACAUGCAGCUUUGCUUUUUGAUGCAGAGACAUUGAAAACAGGAUUAAAUCUGAUGUGUGAAGCUGUCAACCUUUUCUCUUGUUGGACUCUGUAUCAGAAGAGAUCCAGUCCUCAGUUCUCUGAUGGCUUGAGUCUGUCUUCACACGUCUGAUGGUAGAUUGAUAAAGUUUAUUAG
This is a non-coding RNA of Misgurnus anguillicaudatus (oriental weatherfish), 929 nucleotides long. The record is from RefSeq and is a predicted model, not a curated record. Lineage: Eukaryota; Metazoa; Chordata; Actinopteri; Cypriniformes; Cobitidae.